UGGUAAGUCCGCAACGAGCGCAACCCCUAUUGUUAGUUGCCAUCAUUCAGUUGGGCACUCUAGCGAGACUGCCGGUAAUAAACCGGAGGAAGGUGGGGAUGACGUCAAAUCAUCAUGCCCCUUAUGACCUGGGCUACACACGUGCUACAAUGGUUGGUACAACGAGUUGCGAGUCGGUGAUGGCGAGCUAAUCUCUUAAAGCCAAUCUCAGUUCGGAUUGUAGGCUGCAACUCGCCUACAUGAAGUCGGAAUCGCUAGUAAUCGCGGAUCAGCACGCCGCGGUGAAUACGUUCCCGGGCCUU
RNAcentral lists this ribosomal RNA (302 nucleotides) under uncultured Streptococcus sp. RNAcentral's name for it is "bacterial SSU rRNA". It matches the Rfam family "Bacterial small subunit ribosomal RNA", at positions 1074 to 1382 of the family's 1533-position model. Lineage: Bacteria; Bacillati; Bacillota; Bacilli; Lactobacillales; Streptococcaceae. The record is from RNAcentral.